Molecule: ribosomal RNA, 239 nt
Filed under: uncultured bacterium
Lineage: Bacteria
Description: partial 16S ribosomal RNA
Rfam family: Bacterial small subunit ribosomal RNA
Source: RNAcentral
GCGUUGCUCGGAAUCACUGGGCGUAAAGCGCACGUAGGCGGCUUUUUACGUCAGGGGUGAAAUCCUGGAGCUCAACUCCGGAACUGCCUUCGAUACUGCGGGUCUCGAGUCCGGGAGAGGUGAGUGGAAUUCCUAGUGUAGAGGUGAAAUUCGUAGAUAUUAGGAAGAACACCAGUGGCGAAGGCGGCUCACUGGCCCGGUACUGACGCUGAGGCGCGAAAGCGUGGGGAGCAAACAGG